RNAcentral lists this ribosomal RNA (463 nucleotides) under uncultured bacterium. RNAcentral's name for it is "bacterial SSU rRNA". It matches the Rfam family "Bacterial small subunit ribosomal RNA", at positions 1 to 507 of the family's 1533-position model. The record is from RNAcentral.
UAUCGACGUAGUUUGAUCAUGGCUCAAGAACAAACGCUGGCGGCAUGCCUAACACAUGCAAGUCGAGCCGAACCCGUUCGGGGUUAGCGGCGGACGGGUUAGUAACGCGUGGGAAUAUACCCUUUGGUACGGAAUAGCCUCGGGAAACUGAGAGUAAUACCGUAUGUGCCCUUCGGGGGAAAGAUUUAUCGCCAAAGGAUUAGCCCGCGUUGGAUUAGGUAGUUGGUGGGGUAAUGGCCUACCAAGCCUACGAUCCAUAGCUGGUUUGAGAGGAUGAUCAGCAACACUGGGACUGAGACACGGCCCAGACUCCUACGGGAGGCAGCAGUGGGGAAUCUUAGACAAUGGGCGCAAGCCUGAUCUAGCCAUGCCGCGUGGACGAUGAAGGCCUUAGGGUUGUAAAGUCCUUUCAGAUGGGAAGAUAAUGACGGUACCAUCAGAAGAAGCCCCGGCUAACUCCGUG